GCUCCCAUGGCGAAGUGGUCACUGCGCUCGCCUUGCACGCGGGAGACUGGGUUCGAUUCCCGGCGGGGUCA
Molecule: transfer RNA, 71 nt
Filed under: Diaphorina citri (Asian citrus psyllid)
Lineage: Eukaryota; Metazoa; Arthropoda; Insecta; Hemiptera; Psyllidae
Rfam family: tRNA
About the family: Transfer RNA (tRNA) molecules are approximately 80 nucleotides in length. Their secondary structure includes four short double-helical elements and three loops (D, anti-codon, and T loops).
Source: Rfam by way of RNAcentral